Molecule: ribosomal RNA, 251 nt
Filed under: uncultured prokaryote
Description: partial 16S rRNA
Rfam family: Bacterial small subunit ribosomal RNA
Source: RNAcentral
ACGGAGGGUGCAAGCGUUGUUCGGAAUCACUGGGCGUAAAGGGCGCGUAGGCGGUUUGAUAAGUCAGAUGUGAAAGCCCACGGCUUAACUGUGGAAGUGCAUUUGAAACUGUCAGACUUGAGUAUCAGAGGGGAAAGUGGAAUUCCCGGUGUAGAGGUGAAAUUCGUAGAUCCCGGGGGGAAUACCGGUGGCGAAGGCGACUUUCCGGGUGAAUUCUGACGGUGAGGCGCGAAAGCGGGGGGAGCAAACAG